GAUGAACGCUGGCGGCGUGCCUAAUACAUGCAAGUCGAGCGAACGGACGAGAAGCUUGCUUCUCUGAUGUUAGCGGCGGACGGGUGAGUAACACGUGGAUAACCUACCUAUAAGACUGGGAUAACUUCGGGAAACCGUAGCUAAUACCGGAUAAUAUUUUGAACCGCAUGGUUCAAAAGUGAAAGACGGUCUUGCUGUCACUUAUAGAUGGAUCCGCGCUGCAUUAGCUAGUUGGUAAGGUAACGGCUUACCAAGGCAACGAUGCAUAGCCGACCUGAGAGGGUGAUCGGCCACACUGGAACUGAGACACGGUACAGACUCCUACGGGAGGCAGCAGUAGGGAAUCUUCCGCAAUGGGCGAAAGCCUGACGGAGCAACGCCGCGUGAGUGAUGAAGGUCUUCGGAUAGUAAAACUCUGUUAUUAGGGAAGAACAUAUGUGUAAGUAACUGUGCACAUCUUGACGGUACCUAAGCAGAAAGCCACGGCUAACUACGUG
RNAcentral lists this ribosomal RNA (497 nucleotides) under uncultured bacterium. RNAcentral's name for it is "partial 16S ribosomal RNA". It matches the Rfam family "Bacterial small subunit ribosomal RNA", at positions 28 to 507 of the family's 1533-position model. The record is from RNAcentral.